UGGGGAAUCUUGCGCAAUGGGCGAAAGCCUGACGCAGCCAUGCCGCGUGAAUGAUGAAGGUCUUAGGAUUGUAAAAUUCUUUCACCGGGGACGAUAAUGACGGUACCCGGAGAAGAAGCCCCGGCUAACUUCGUGCCAGCAGCCGCGGUAAUACGAAGGGGGCUAGCGUUGCUCGGAAUUACUGGGCGUAAAGGGCGCGUAGGCGGAUCGUUAAGUCAGAGGUGAAAUCCCAGGGCUCAACCCUGGAACUGCCUUUGAUACUGGCGAUCUUGAGUAUGAGAGAGGUAUGUGGAACUCCGAGUGUAGAGGUGAAAUUCGUAGAUAUUCGGAAGAACACCAGUGGCGAAGGCGACAUACUGGCUCAUUACUGACGCUGAGGCGCGAAAGCGUGGGGAGCAAACAG
RNAcentral lists this ribosomal RNA (403 nucleotides) under uncultured bacterium. Its description in RNAcentral is "bacterial SSU rRNA". It matches the Rfam family "Bacterial small subunit ribosomal RNA", at positions 355 to 775 of the family's 1533-position model. The record is from RNAcentral.